GCCUUCGUGAUGUAGUGGUCUGCGAACUCGACGCGUAACCGAGAGGUCCGUGGUUCGAUUCCCGGCGAAGGCG
Molecule: non-coding RNA, 73 nt
Organism: Stegodyphus mimosarum
Lineage: Eukaryota; Metazoa; Arthropoda; Arachnida; Araneae; Eresidae
Source: Rfam